Molecule: ribosomal RNA, 761 nt
Filed under: Brevundimonas sp.
Lineage: Bacteria; Pseudomonadati; Pseudomonadota; Alphaproteobacteria; Caulobacterales; Caulobacteraceae
Description: bacterial SSU rRNA
Rfam family: Bacterial small subunit ribosomal RNA
Source: RNAcentral
CAACCUGAGAGUUUGAUCCUGGCUCAGAGCGAACGCUGGCGGCAGGCCUAACACAUGCAAGUCGAACGAACUCUUCGGAGUUAGUGGCGGACGGGUGAGUAACACGUGGGAACGUGCCUUUUGGUUCGGAAUAACUCAGGGAAACUUGUGCUAAUACCGAAUGUGCCCUUCGGGGGAAAGAUUUAUCGCCAUUAGAGCGGCCCGCGUCUGAUUAGCUUGUUGGUGGGGUAAUGGCCCACCAAGGCUACGAUCAGUAGCUGGUCUGAGAGGAUGACCAGCCACAUUGGGACUGAGACACGGCCCAAACUCCUACGGGAGGCAGCAGUGGGGAAUCUUGCGCAAUGGGCGAAAGCCUGACGCAGCCAUGCCGCGUGUAUGAUGAAGGUCUUAGGAUUGUAAAAUACUUUCACCGGUGAAGAUAAUGACUGUAGCCGGAGAAGAAGCCCCGGCUAACUUCGUGCCAGCAGCCGCGGUAAUACGAAGGGGGCUAGCGUUGCUCGGAAUUACUGGGCGUAAAGGGAGCGUAGGCGGACAUUUAAGUCAGAGGUGAAAUCCCGGAGCUUAACUUCGGAACUGCCUUUGAUACUGGGUGUCUUGAGUGUGAGAGAGGUAUGUGGAACUCCGAGUGUAGAGGUGAAAUUCGUAGAUAUUCGGAAGAACACCAGUGGCGAAGGCGACAUACUGGCUCAUUACUGACGCUGAGGCUCGAAAGCGUGGGGAGCAAACAGGAUUAGAUACCCUGGUAGUCCACGCCGUAAACG